UAUCAAAACUCCUCAUCCAUCAGUUAUGUUAUAUGUUUGCAUGAAUUGAUUUUAAACUUAUAGAGCUGGGACCUUAGACAUCAAUUAUUCCAGUGUAAUUCCUCCACUUUCCAGUUUAAAGAGGCAUAGAUGUCAGCCACAGAGCCACAACUGGAAUCUAGAUUUAUCUACCUAUCAGUGUGGUGUUUUUUCCUUUAGACACUGCCUUUUGUACUUGAUUGCUUUCCUUUUAUUCUUGGGUAGAAAAUAUGGAUUAUCUGAACUUCCAGUACCAAUUUGGAGUGUGAGAGUGGUGAGAACAGACCUGACCAGGAGAGCAGCAUAAGGCUUAGAGCUGCCUAGGUACACUAGUGCCAGAGACAAGCACUCUAGAAAACAGGAGGAAGAGUCAGAAGGGAAGGGUAAAUCCCUAGGAAUGAGAUGACUGGGUCACAUGAUGUUGCUUUACUCUGUCACCCAGGCUGGAGUGCAG
This is a long non-coding RNA of Cebus imitator (Panamanian white-faced capuchin), 472 nucleotides long. RefSeq lists it as uncharacterized. The transcript is spliced from 3 exons. The record is from RefSeq and is a predicted model, not a curated record. Lineage: Eukaryota; Metazoa; Chordata; Mammalia; Primates; Cebidae.